GGUCUCAUGGUGUAAUGGUUAGCACUCUGGACUCUGAAUCCAGCGAUCCGAGUUCAAAUCUCAGUGGGACCU
RNAcentral lists this transfer RNA (72 nucleotides) under Ixodes scapularis (black-legged tick). It matches the Rfam family "tRNA". From Rfam's summary of the family: Transfer RNA (tRNA) molecules are approximately 80 nucleotides in length. Their secondary structure includes four short double-helical elements and three loops (D, anti-codon, and T loops). Further hydrogen bonds mediate the characteristic L-shaped molecular structure. tRNAs have two regions of fundamental functional importance: the anti-codon, which is responsible for specific mRNA codon recognition, and the 3' end, to which the tRNAs corresponding amino acid is attached (by aminoacyl-tRNA synthetases). tRNAs cope with the degeneracy of the genetic code in two manners: having more than one tRNA (with a specific anti-codon) for a particular amino acid; and 'wobble' base-pairing, i.e. permitting non-standard base-pairing at the 3rd anti-codon position. The record is from Rfam by way of RNAcentral. Lineage: Eukaryota; Metazoa; Arthropoda; Arachnida; Ixodida; Ixodidae.